RNAcentral lists this ribosomal RNA (415 nucleotides) under uncultured bacterium. Its description in RNAcentral is "bacterial SSU rRNA". It matches the Rfam family "Bacterial small subunit ribosomal RNA", at positions 355 to 787 of the family's 1533-position model. The record is from RNAcentral.
UGGGGAAUAUUGCACAAUGGGCGAAAGCCUGAUGCAGCAACGCCGCGUGAGCGAUGAAGGCCUUCGGGUCGUAAAGCUCUGUCCUCAAGGAAGAUAAUGACGGUACUUGAGGAGGAAGCCCCGGCUAACUACGUGCCAGCAGCCGCGGUAAUACGAAGGGUGCAAGCGUUACUCGGAAUUACUGGGCGUAAAGCGUGCGUAGGUGGUGGUUUAAGUCUGUUGUGAAAGCCCUGGGCUCAACCUGGGAAUUGCAGUGGAUACUGGAUCACUAGAGUGUGGUAGAGGGUGGCGGAAUUCCCGGUGUAGCAGUGAAAUGCGUAGAGAUCGGGAGGAACACCCGUGGCGAAGGCGGCCACCUGGGCCAACACUGACACUGAGGCACGAAAGCGUGGGGAGCAAACAGGAUUAGAUACCC